AUUAGUUUCAAGAGAUAUGUUUAUUCUUGAGUUGAAACAAACUGUGUUGCUUGGGGUUGUAUUCUGUACCAGUCUUCAAAAUUGCCUUUGCUUUGUGUUGCUUUGAUUCAUAAAACAAGGAGAAAGAGAAUGCACGAUCCUUAUUUUGCAAUCCAACAAGGCUUUGAUUUGAUCCUAUCAUUUCGGUAAAAUACUGAAUCAUUUAUCUGAAUCAUUUGUGGCUCAUUCAACAAAGUGGACUAUGCUGUAGAUGGGUAACAAACAUUGUUAGUAGGCCUAGCAACCAAUACUGUUGUCUUUUCAUCGCGAUUUUACGAAGAGUGCGUCAAUGGUUUACAAGUGAAAUUUCUCGAAAUGGUCUUUUGUGAACAGAGUGAUUCUUCUAAAACAUAUAAAUAUUCGGAAUUCAUCUAGGGUUGUUGCUCUACGCUGUCCACAAUCAGUUUCAGUUGUCUUUUCUGAAGAAAAAGGCAUGAUGUUUUAUCAAAUAUGCUGCUCAUGACAUUGGCGUUAUGCUCGAACAUGAACACCACCUCUGUAGCACUGUUGGAGUCAUGGAUCAUUUCACGAAGCCCAAAUAUUCUUGCCACGUUCAGAACAAGUUUCUAUGGAACGGACCCUGAUCUUCGACACACUGCAAUUCAAUUCUUCACAAUAUGUUAUUCUAUGUUUUGAGCCAAUAAAAAAUCUCUUAAAAUAUCUGUAAAAAAUCUACCACAUGAAAAAUCGUUGAAAAAGUUG
RNAcentral lists this long non-coding RNA (741 nucleotides) under Aedes aegypti (yellow fever mosquito). Its description in RNAcentral is "lncRNA AAEL025858". The record is from RNAcentral. Lineage: Eukaryota; Metazoa; Arthropoda; Insecta; Diptera; Culicidae.